Molecule: non-coding RNA, 333 nt
Organism: Cyanistes caeruleus (blue tit)
Lineage: Eukaryota; Metazoa; Chordata; Aves; Passeriformes; Paridae
Source: RefSeq, a predicted model, not a curated record
AGCCCGGCUCCGGGCAGGAUUAUCCGGCUGCCUGGGAGAGUGCAGCGCGAGCCAAGUGGGCAUGGAAGUGUCUCUGGGAGGAGGAGAAGCACCUCAGUGUCACCCUCAGUGCCUGAGCAAAGAGCUCUGGAAUGCUGUGAAGACUCCCUGCCCAGGCACACUCCUCUCCGGAUUAUCUCCAUCCCAAGGAAGCUCGUAUCCAAGAGAGUUCCCGGUCUUCCACCAUGAAUCCUGUUUACAGCCCCGUCCAACCUGGGGCUCCCUACGGAAACCCGAAGAACAUGGCCUAUACAGGUACAACAGGGCUUGUGGCUUUCCCUGAAUGUCUGUGUG